RNAcentral lists this ribosomal RNA (432 nucleotides) under uncultured bacterium. Its description in RNAcentral is "bacterial SSU rRNA". It matches the Rfam family "Bacterial small subunit ribosomal RNA", at positions 29 to 508 of the family's 1533-position model. The record is from RNAcentral.
AACGAACGCUGGCGGCAGGCUUAACACAUGCAAGUCGAACGCCCCGCAAGGGGAGUGGCAGACGGGUGAGUAACACGUGGGAACAUGCCCAAAGGUACGGAAUAUCCUCGGGAAACUGGGAGCAAUACCGUAUGUGCCCGAAAGGGGAAAGAUUUAUCGCCUUUGGAUUGGCCCGCGUUGGAUUAGCUAGUUGGUGGGGUAAAAGCCUACCAAGGCGACGAUCCAUAGCUGGUCUGAGAGGACGACCAGCCACACUGGGACUGAGACACGGCCCAGACUCCUACGGGAGGCAGCAGUGGGGAAUCUUGGACAAUGGGCGCAAGCCUGAUCCAGCCAUGCCGCGUGAGUGAUGAAGGCCCUAGGGUUGUAAAACUCUUUCGCAGGUGACGAUAAUGACGGUAACCUGAGAAGAAGCCCCGGCUAACUUCGUGC